AAAAGCUCACAGGUAAAGAACUCGCUCAAUCAGAGCAGCAUCUCAGAUUCAGUCUCAGACCUUCUCAGACAGCAGUAGACCAUGUUUAAAAAAAUAACGAAAUAAAGGAAAACAUUGGUGCAAAAUUUAGUGACUGGGUCCAUCAGAACAUAUAGAGACUGCAAGAAAUGGGAACAGAAGUGUGCCUUGUGAGACUGCAAAUCAAAUUCAUGUGCAAAUUUUAAUUAAUAUGUCCUCUCAGUUUAGUUAAUUCACGUACGUGUUUUAAUUGAAACCUUCUCAUGAUCUGGUUAAUACAUGUGCCUGCAUUCUACAUAUUCCUGCUGUGCUUGUUUUUCUGUACUUUGACUUUCUGGGAGACACUGGCCUACUAAAAAGGGCCUUGAAUUAAGUAAAUCAUAUCUGAGAUCACAAACUCUUUCAUUGUCUGUUUUUAGAAAAUAUAGAACACGCCUUUCCUCAUAAACCUGAAGACCACUAGUGUGUAAGAAAGAGAUUCAACUUUGGUGGAAUUACGGGCAGCACGGGUUAUCUUCUUGAAGUGACAUUUGAAAGGGUCACAACAAGAUUUCUGAUUGAGUCUAAACAACUUCUCUACCGAAGACAUUUUGAAAACGUAUGGUGCUGCAGCAAAGACAACGCUUUUAUCUCCAGCAGAAAAUAUCCAACUAAACUAGAACCAGUGAAUGCAUCAGUGAAAGAGCACAUUCUGCUAGGGCAGUCUGAAUCACAG
Molecule: long non-coding RNA, 733 nt
Organism: Polypterus senegalus (gray bichir)
Lineage: Eukaryota; Metazoa; Chordata; Cladistia; Polypteriformes; Polypteridae
Exons: 3
Source: RefSeq, a predicted model, not a curated record